Molecule: long non-coding RNA, 943 nt
Organism: Bos indicus x Bos taurus (hybrid cattle)
Lineage: Eukaryota; Metazoa; Chordata; Mammalia; Artiodactyla; Bovidae
Source: Ensembl
AGAGGGCCAGACCUGGGGAGAGGUUCAUCCUAGCACAGCAGCCCUGGUCAGAGAUUUGCAGGGGCAACUCUCACAGAUAACGGCACCGUGAUGUUUGCUGGAUUGUUUUUCAUAUAGACUUUACUCAUGGAAGGAUGAUCUUCCUGUAACUUAAUAAGAUAAUGUUGCCAACAAUCUCUUCAAAAAAUACCCUGUUGAAACUUGCUGUCCUUGGGCUCUUGCCAGAGCCCAUUCCUGCCUCCUGCCUGCUGUCUGGCUUGUUUUUAGCAGUGGUUGCCUCUGGGCCGGGUUUGUGUUCUUGAAGAACUCAGUUCAGGAUGGUCCUAGCAGCUGAUGGAAGCCUCCAGAGCAAGUGGGUCAGGCUGUCAAGGUGGAACCCCGAGGCUGCAUGUGGCUGUGGAUACAGAAUUGAGUGGGCAUGAUCUGGAGAUACAGCAGGCCUCCCCACCCCAAGAUCUGUGUGAAGAACCUAAACGGAAAGAGUCAAGAUUUAGGAUGAACGAGAGGAGCUGGUGUCUUUCUGAAUUUUGUAUGAAGCACUUAUUCCUGUGUCAUUGCCAAAGACCUCUGGGAAAAGUGAACAGGAUCUCCCUAUUAAUGUUGAUCUCCACUCCUUGCCAUUAAUUGUGAAAGCCAUCAUAUUACAACAGUUUAGCUCAAUUUCAACCUUGAACCUGGAGUACUCCAAAUCCAAAGGUGGGAUUCAGCAACUGAGACAAAAACCAUUAUAUGCUUCCACGAUGAAGUUAUACAUCCAUAUCACUGAUUGACUUGGUGGUAAAUUUGAAAUGUUUGCCAUUAUUGGGUUGCUUUAGUUUUUGUUCAAAGUACUUAAAGAUAGGGUUUAGUCUGGUUUUUGUUGCUGGUCUCAGAAAACUAAACCUGCCUGAAGGUAGAUGAGUCAAAGAAGUAGAUCCGUGAAAGAGGUAAUUAGAACAAUCAG